Mastomys coucha (southern multimammate mouse) is the source of this 1012-nucleotide long non-coding RNA. RefSeq lists it as uncharacterized. The transcript is spliced from 4 exons. NCBI's taxonomy places the organism in Eukaryota, Metazoa, Chordata, Mammalia, Rodentia, Muridae. The record is from RefSeq and is a predicted model, not a curated record.
UUAUAGAGUCCUGCACAUCUCCCAGGGAUUAGUGGGCCGCUGUGGGCUUAUGCUCCAAUGAUGCAUAGAGAGGAGGAGAAGCGAUGGACAGCCAUCAGGCAUCAGGUCUGACUGCCAGGGAACUACAAAGCAGACAGGACAAAAGACACAGCAGCGCCAGCACUGACCCACAACAUCCCUACAGCUGAUGCCUCUCACUCCAGCUCACCCCACCUACUGUGGUUUGAAUCCAAAAUGUCCCCAAGCCCAUGAUCUUGAUGUUUGAUCUCAGUGGGUGGCACUAUUUUAAAUCCUUAGGAAAUGAGGCCAGCUAGCUGAGGUAGAGCGAUAGGGUAGGCCUUUGACAGUUCUAGCUUAGCCUCUGAUGCAUCCUCUGCUUCGAAUGACUGCCACCACAAACGGAAUCUUUCCACCACGCCUUUCCAGGUGAAUCUGAAACCAGAGUGAACAGGAAUGAAUCAGAAUGAAGCCGCUAACGACAUAAUUAAGGUGACAGCAGGUCACAAAGAGAAAUGAAAGAUGGCAGAGUGUUUCUGAAGAACUCGGUGUCCUCUUCAACCAAAUGAAAGAUGGAGACGGAGCCAGCCUUGAGAACUGUACAGAGAUUGACACUCUGGUAUCACAGAGGCUCUGAUUAUGGUGACACAGAAUGAAGUCCCACAAGGGAGGCUGGGAAAUGUAGUUUAGCUUGUGUCCAAGAAGAAAGGCCAUGGGGCUUUGGGAAUAGACAGUUAACCCUGCCACAGAAAAUUAAGUCCCCUGCUCCCUCACACAUCCUAAGAGAGUUUCCAAACCUACUUUGCUGUUUGGAAACAAUCAGUCCAGAGGACCAGGCACAAGCUAAUACAGCCACCCACAUUCCCUUUCCCAUAAAGCAGAACUCCCUGAAGACAAGCAGAUUUGAGAGAAGGGAAGCCAUUAACCUCAGCGACUAUUGUCAAGUGCUUGCCCCGUGUAAGCAACUUAAAUGUGUCCACUCAUCCCUCAAAACAACGCAAUGGUAUAGCUGCUA